This 253-nucleotide ribosomal RNA is filed under the name uncultured bacterium. RNAcentral describes it as "partial 16S ribosomal RNA". It matches the Rfam family "Bacterial small subunit ribosomal RNA", at positions 524 to 776 of the family's 1533-position model. The record is from RNAcentral.
UACGUAGGGGGCAAGCGUUGUCCGGAAUUAUUGGGCGUAAAGAGCGUGUAGGCGGUCCGGUAAGUCAGCUGUGAAAGUCAAGGGCUCAACCCUUGAAAGCCGGUUGAUACUGUCGGGCUAGAGUCCGGAAGAGGCGAGUGGAAUUCCCGGUGUAGCGGUGAAAUGCGCAGAUAUCGGGAGGAACACCAAUGGCGAAGGCAGCUCGCUGGGACGGUACUGACGCUGAGGAGCGAAAGCGUGGGGAGCAAACAGG